This 8057-nucleotide long non-coding RNA is filed under the name Sus scrofa (pig). Its description in RNAcentral is "lncRNA (ENSSSCG00150044252.1, ENSSSCG00160046932.1, ENSSSCG00180044852.1, ENSSSCG00185018585.1)". Lineage: Eukaryota; Metazoa; Chordata; Mammalia; Artiodactyla; Suidae. The record is from RNAcentral.
UGGCUGUGGCUGUGGUGUAGGCCAGUGGCUACAGCUUCGAUUCGACCCUUGGCCUGGGAACCUCCAUAUGACACUGGAGCCGCCCAAGAAAUGGCAAAAAGACAAAAAAAAUUUACUUGACUGAAGUAGAGUUGAUUUACGAUGUUGUGUUAGUUUCAGGCGUACAGCAAAGUGACUCGUGUAUUUGUGUGUGUGUGUGUGUGUGUACACGUAUAUCUGAUGUGUAUGUAUAUACACACACAUCCUUUUUCAUACUCCUUUCCAGGGUGGUUUGUCACAGGAUGCUGAAUGUAGUUCGCUGUAGGGCAGGAGCCUGUUGUUUGUCCAUCCUGCAUACGUCUGCCUCUGCGAGACCCAAGCUCACUCCCAGUCCUUCCCUGCCCCACCCGCCUCCCCUUCGGCAGCCACAAGUCUGUUCCCUCUGUCCCAGAGUCUGCUUCUGCCUCGUAGACACGUUCGUUUGUGUUGAGUGUUUGUGAAGUUUCGUUAGAGUUGCUUUACGCGGGUGUGAUCAUGUCCGCUCUGCAACAACGUGAUUCAGGGACCCCUGUACCCACAGCCUUUCUCUCCCAGAUUCUCUUCCCACACAGAGGAUCCCAGAAUAUCGGGUAGAGGUCUCUGGGCUGCACGGCAGGUCCCCACUGGCCAGGACAACUCAGCGUACAGAUGCCAGUCCCAAACCCCAGGCUAUCUCUCCUCCCCCACAACUGUCCGCUUUGGUAACCGUACGCUUGUUUUCGAAGUCUGCCUGUCUGUUUCUGUUCUGCAGAUCAGUUUGUGCCACAUUUGAGACGCCACGUAUAAAUGAUAUCAUGUGACAUUUGUCUUCCACUGUCUGACUGACCUCACUUAGCAGGAGCAUCUCUAGGUCCGUCCCUGUUGCUGCAAACGGCAUCAUUUCACUCUUUUUACGGCUAACACUCCAUCGUGUAUAUGGACUACGUCUUCUUGAUCCAGUCCUCUGUUGAUGGACGUUUGGGGUGCUUCCAUGUCUCAGCUGUUGUGCAUAGAGCUGCAGUGAAUACUAGGGCGCACGUAUCUUUGUGAAUUACUGGUUCCUCCAGAGAGAGGCCCAGGCGUGGGAUUGCUGGUGGCAGUUCUGGUUUUAGUUUUUGCGUCCCCUCCGUACUGUUCCCCACAGUGGCAGCACCAGGUGACCUUCCCACCAGCAGUGUAGGUAGGUGGUUUUCUGAUCCCUGGCCUGGAGGACGAGAGUCCAGAGGGAAAGAGAAACUUUCCAUCCCCUCUUCCCUUCCGUGCAGUUCACGGGAUCCACAAACAACGCCUCCGGGAGAGGAACUGUUUUUAUCCUCAACACACUGAGUUGGAACCGCUAUUAAGAAAACUGCACAAGAACCCAGCUGGGAAGUGAAAGAGCCAAAACGCACUCCCACGCCGCGUUACUCCACAGCCUGCUCACUGCCACGUGUUACUACCCCACGGCUACGGGCGAGGGCUCGCUGCCUGGGGGGCACGGCAGCCAGCACCGCAGGCCCAGCUUUUGAGGAAAGAGGAGGCUUUGUUGCCAGGCCCAUGGCCAGGAAACAGGAGGCAGGGCUUCCAUCUGUCUUUCCCGUCCAGGGUUCAGGGUAAAAUUUAAGGGGUUCAGGGGACUUCAGACGUGGAAGCCAAUGGGCUCGUCUCAGUCUGUAGAAGCUGCUGGACGCCAGACUUUCCUCAUUGAAGGACGUCUCCCUUCCUCAAGGGCCCUGCCUGUAACACUUGCAUCCUUUGGGUCGCAGACUGAAGAGUCUUGGUUCCAGGGUCCCCUGAGAACGUGGGUUCCCAGGCUGGGGGUCCAAUCAGAGCUACAGCUGCUGGCCUCCACCACAGCUCACAGCUACGCCAGAUCCGAGCCUUGUCUGUGACCUAAACCACAGCUCACAGCAAUGCUGGAUCCUUCACCCACCAGAGGCCAGGGAUCAAACUUGCAUCCUCAUGGAUCCUCGUCGGCUUCAUUACCACAAGGGGAACUCUCUCGGGUCUCAUUUUAAAACCCAUUCCUGUUGAUGGAUGAGGUCUACGUAUAUCCUCAGGUGUCUUGAGGGACUUGUGAUCCCCCCGCUUCCCCCCCCACCACACACACACACAGCCCUUCCACACGGAUGGCCGGUUGGGGCUGGAGAAACACAGUUCCCUCCAUCUCUUCAGCACCCCCCACCAGGGGGUGAGAAGCAGCCCUGAGUGUGCAAGGACCUCCCCACCCCUCCGUGUUCGUCUCUCUCCCUUCAUCCUCUCCAUCCCCUGCGUCCAGGACACCUCCGAGCCCUCUCCCUGCACUGUCCCCGCUGAUGAGCAGCAAAACCCCUGGCUGACCACGCUGCCUCCACACCAGCCCUGGACGACUUUCUCCUUUUUAAAAAUCUUCCGCCAUGUUCACUUGACCCAAGGAACCCUUGUGUGACCACGUCGAAGUUUCAUCGGCAUCCCAAGGACAAGCCCCGCGCUCCAGCCUCCGACUCGCUGUGCGGGGGUCUCGGGUGUGCCUCGCAGUGACAGCGCUUCUCCGUCUGAAAGUUACCUUGAUCACAUACCCUUGACACAUUUCAGGAUUUCUUAUGAUCGACGGUGGCGAGAGAGGUUGCCGGCAGCCAAGCGUCCCAAACACACCUUGAAAUGUUCCCAUAACUAGUCGAGUCUGUUUUCCGAAUUGAUUUUACGCCGUUAAGAUGGAAUCAACUGCAAACAUCCCACCCUGUCCGUUGCUGAGCUACAUCUCACGGCAGGGGCAGGUCUUGUCGUGGUGGGGGUGGGUCCUGUGGCGGGGACGGGUCUUGUCACAGUGGGGAUGGGUCUUUUCAUGGCGGGGACGGAUCUUGUUGUUGUGGGGACGGGUCUUUUCAUGGCGGGGAUGGGUCCUGUCAUGGUGGGGACGGGUCUUCUUGUUGUGGGCAUGGGUCCUGUCACAGUGGGGACGGGUCUUUUCAUGUCGGGGAUGGGUCUUGUUGCGGGGAUGGGUCUGGUCACAGCAGGGAUGUGCCAGGGGUUGCAGAUAAAGGGCACUGGUCAGCUUGUAGAUGUUGUGCGUAUGGAGCUGCUGUAUAUAUACCCUUGCAUUCACAUUUUUCUCAGUGUAAGUCCUUUUUUGUAGAUUGAACAGCUCAGAGUGGGAAAUUUGGGUCAAACGGUAAAAGUGUGUUUAAUUAUAAAAGAGAGGGACCAGAGUUCCCUGGUGGCUCAGCGGGUUAAGGAUCCAGCGUUGUCACUGCAGUGGGUUCGAUCUCUGGCCCUGGAACCUCCACAUGCUGCAGGCACGGCCAAAAGAAAUUUUUUAAUAAAAAAUUUUAAAAAGAGACAGACUGUCUUCCUGGUGGAUGCGCCAUUCCACACCCCUCAGCAGCGGUGGGAGUUGCAGCUGCCCCACAACCCUUGGGAGGGUCAGUGGUGCUCCCGAGGCUCCCAGAGGCCAUGUGAUGUCUGACUGCACCCAGCUUCAGUCCUCCCGGGGCUGGUGAUGCAAACCUUUUCAAGUGCCUCCCCAGACCCUUCCUGGUGAACCGUCUGUGCAAGUCUCCUUUUUCAUUUUCUGAUUUUGAUUUCAGGCUGCACCCAUGGCAUGUGAAAAUUCCCAGGCCAGGGAUCAAACCCUCAUCACAGCAGUGACCUGAGCCUCUGCUGUGACAACAUCAGACCCUUAACCCUCUGUGCCACCAGGGAACUCCUGCAAGUCUCUUUUUUUUUAGAGUAAAAGUGUAUAUAUGUAAGGAGUUCCCAUCGUGGCGCAGUGGUUAACGAAUCUGACGAGGAACCAUGAGGUUUCGAGUUCGAUCCCUGGCCUUGCUCAGUGGGUUCAGGAUCUGGCGUUGGCAUGAGCUGUGGUGUAGGUCGCAGACGCGGCUUGGUUCCCGUGUUGCUGUGACUGUGGUGUAGGCCGGUAGCUACAGCUCCGAUCAGACCCCUAGCCUGGAACCUCCAUGUGCCGCGGGUGUGGCCCUAGAAAAGGCAAAAAGACCACAAAAAAGUGCACAUAUGUAAGGUGUACAGCAUGAGUUGUUAUACACACACAUAGUGAAAUGAUUACCACACUAAUUCACAAACACAGUUGCCCUUGAGAGCCCCUGAAAUCUCCCCUCUGAGGAAAUGUCCAGUAUUCCCCACGCUGUUAUUAACCGCAGUCACCGGGCUGCACGCAAGCUCUCUCGACUCACGCACCCCACAGACCUUCAGCCAUCCUCCCCCCCACAACCGCAGUUCUACCCCCGGCUUCUAUGCAUUUGCCGUUUUCAACUUCCACGGGUGUGAAAUCUUUUUUUCUUUUUCUUUCUGUGCCUGGCUUAUGUAAUGUACCCUGCUGUCCUCCAAGCUCACCUGUGUUUGUUUCAAAUGGAAGGACCCCUUUCCUGUUUAAGGCUGCGUCAUAUUCCAUCGUACCUGGACCCCACCAUUUCUUUAUCAGUUCGUCUGUCUGUGGACACGUAGGCUGUUCGGGUCUUUUGCCUGCUUGCUGACUGGCUCAUUUGUCUUUAUGCAGAGAUGUCUUUGUUCCUCUCCCCUCACUGAUUUUAUGAGUAAGCACAUGGAAGCACAGAGAGGUUAAGUGACUUGCCUGAAUAUGCACAGCUGAUAACCAGCAGAGCCAGAAAACAGGAAUCCACGCCACCUCCUUGGUGGGAAGAACAGCAGAGAGGAGAGAGGCCCUUACUCCUUGUGAGUGUGUGUGUGUGUGUGUGUGCACUCAGUUCUGACUUUUACAAACAUGCGGCCAUUCCAUGUUCUGAGACACGCUCCAGACACGGAUUGUUCAAGGAUCUCCACAGGGCCUGGCCGGUACCCACCUCGGGGCCUUUGCACCUGCUAUGCCCUCAGCCAGGAAAGGGGAAGGACUUUCUCUUUCCCGUCAUCCCCUUCUCAUGUCAAGUCUCAGCCCCCACAUCACAGCCUCCGAGGGCCAUGUCCAAACUUACCCUCUGGGGUUGGCUCAUUAAGCUGCUGACCGCCCCUCUUUCCAAGGCGGGUUUAAACUCUACGUGCUCAGGCAGCUUGUUCAGGAUGGGUCAUCCUUCAUCCACCACUGGCUCCCGGGAGGGAGGGACCUGGGUGGGCCUGGCCUCACCAGGUGAACCUUCCAAAGCUGAGCCUUGGCUCAGACUGGUCAGCUGCUCCCAGAGAAACACAGAGACAGGGUCCCGCCGGCCUGGACGAGGAAGAAGCAGCUGCGGUUGUGUGCAUCCCUGGAGGAGGACGCAGCCCCCCUCGGACAGGCAGAGAGACGACUCGCCCCCGAGCCCAGCAGCCGCAGGGGAAGGUCUGCCUGCAGCCAGGCGGGGGCGUGUGCGCGCACAUGCGCGUGUGUGCCCUCGGGUAAGGCCCCGGCCUGGAGAACACGGUGACCGACUCAGCGACCCACGCACGGGACCCUGAGCCGGGAAGCCGGCAUACGGUACCCUUUGUGCCGCCUUAAGCGGCUGAGUCGGUGGUGACUUGUGACACAGCAGCAGAAAACCAGCCCGCCUUCCACGGGCCAUUCCACGGACACUGCCUGACCUGCUCACGGCUGCCCCCGAAGCCCCCACGCAGGGCGGAGGCGGGGGUCCAGGAGGUCUGCUCGGCCCCCCUCGCACCCCCAGACCCUCGUGAUGGGGGCUUCCGUUCUCGAGUUAGAGGGAACGCUUUGGGGCCAUCGGUGAGUUAUGGGACCAGCCGGGUGUCACAGACCUGGUCCCCAGCCUGGCUUUGCUCCUUCUGGCUGGUGUCAGAAGCUCUGUGACCCCAAGCGGUUCCUUCAUAAAGUGGGGCCCGUUCAGUGCCUUCCCCGUGGGCUCGUGGAAUUGAAUAACUGGAUCUGUUUCUAAAGCACUUGGCACAGGGUCUGGAAACGCCGCCGACCUGUUACCUGAAGUCACUGCAUCCAGACCUGCCCUCCCACAUGUAUAACAUCUGUGCCAGGGCACACGCAGGCGCUGUUAAAUGUCUCUCUCACAUACACACACACACAGAGUCCCAAACAGACACCCUCCCCCUUCCAAAGCCCAGAUCAUCAGCAUUUGUUCAGUAGGCACGUCAUUGACACUGAGCAGCCUCAAGACGCUGUGCAGGACGCAUAGGGCAGCAAACUACAUCCUUGCAAAAUACAGCUGCGAAAUGACCGAUUCUCAAACGGUAGAGGGAACACUGCUUAGACACAGAAGGCAGCGGUACAUUUGCCAGACAGAUGGGGAGCGUCGGCGGGUCCCUCCCUGCUCUGGAAAGCUUGCUCGCCCGCGCGCGCGCGCGCUGUGUGCGUGCCAGGCUGCGUUCAAGAGCACCGUUCCCAUCCCCUGGUUGGAAUCUAGCCUGGCUUUCAGCUCGGUGGAAAGGCCGUGGGAUUCUGGAGAGCGGAGGGUCUGUCCUGGCCGCUUGGCCUCGGGUGACAAUUCUUUUUGUUCGAAUCUAAGCAUGGUUGCUCGACAGCCUUGUGCCGGUUUCUGCCGCACAGCAUAGUAACCCACUUGCACACAUGCACACACUCAUUUUUUCACACUGUCUUCCAUCGCAGUCCCUCCCAAGAGACUGGACACGGUUCCCCGUGCUGUACAGCAGGACCUCAUCGCCUAUGCAUUUCCUGUGAAGAUUCUAACGGCUUCUCGCCAUCUGUCCAUAUUCACUGGGGCCCGUCCUGGGUUGAAGGGAGUGAGGCUCUCGGCUUGGGUACAAAUUUUAAGUGUGGGGGUGAGGAGAGUGCAGACAUCUCAGUGAUCAAGAGAGAUAAUUUUUUUUUUUUUUGGUCUUUUUAGGGCCACACCUGCAGCAUAGGGAGGUUCCCAGUCUAGGGGAAUCCAGCUUGGAAUCAGAGCUGUAGCCACCAGCCUACCCCAGAGCCACAGCAAUGCCAGAUCCGAACUGCGUCUGCGACCUACACCACAGCUCACAGCAACACCGGAUCCUUAACCCACUGAGCGAGGCCAGGAAUGGAACUCGCAACCUCAUGGUUCCUGGAUGGAUUCUUUUCCAAUGUACCACGAUGGGAACGCCAAGAGAUAAUAUUUUAAUGCAGCGUUUCCUUAAAAUUUCCCAGUUAAAAUGGUGGGAAAAAUCAACGAGGAAGAAAUGCCCACAUGUUAACGGAAGACGGGCUCUCGCAGGGCUGCGAGUAGGGCAAGGUGAGGCGACGAGUCCUGCAAAGCUCAGGGUGGAAAUGUUGAUGUUGCGCUCCUCACGGACUGGAGGCAUUAUCCUUUCUUUUUUAAGCAAACGGCACUGGCACCGGGGCCUUCUCGUGGCUCAGGAGCCUGAGAAUCAGGCAUGAUCCCUGCAGCAGUUCCCUUCGCUGCUGCAGUGUGGCUGCGCGACCUGGCCGGGGACUUUCGCGUGCCUCUGCUGCGCAGUAUUGCCCUGAGUCCUGAGGACUCGGCUUCCCUUACGUGGUGCGCCCAGGUGAACACCUCGGGGGCCCGCCAGCCCCUCCCCCCGCAGCAUCUCUGAUCCUUUCUCUCUGUCCCCACCGUGAAUACCCUCGUUCUUUCCACCACCGCGUCUGGCUGGAGCCGGCACAGCAAACUCCCCGCCACCUGCUGCAUCCUGGUCUGGACACGACCUCCAAGCUGCUGGCACUGAAACUCGGGGUGACUUCCUCCGCAAACCCUCCCCCCAAAGCCCACUCCCAUCAUCCUCUCCCACCGUCUAGAUGUCUCCCCCCUGCCUCCCCCACCCCCAUCCCCACCAUCGCCCAGUUUGGGUUAUAGCAACUGAUGCUGCUAUUUUCUCACCUCUUUUCAGUUCUCUGCGCCAUUUCCCAGGGUGGGGGACCGGUCACACAAGUGUGAUGUCAUUUCAGAUGGUCCGGCUCCAAGGACAAUUAAACUUUACCAUACAAUGUUAUACCCUUGGGAGUUCCCGUGGUGGCUCAGUGGAUUAAGAACCCGACACAGUGUCUGCGAGGAUGCGGGUUCAAUCCCUGGCCUCGCUCAGUAGGUUAAGGACCUGGCACUGCCACAAGCUGUGACUUAGAUAACAGAUGCGGCUCGGAUCCCGCAUUCCUGUGGCUGUGGUGUAGGUGGGCAGCUUCAGCUCCCACUCGACCCCUCGCCUGGGAACCUCCAUGUGCUGCAGGUGCCACUGUAAAAGGAAAAAAAAAAAAA